This 1233-nucleotide long non-coding RNA is filed under the name Carica papaya (papaya). RNAcentral describes it as "long non-coding RNA (CPAP_LNC003236)". Lineage: Eukaryota; Viridiplantae; Streptophyta; Magnoliopsida; Brassicales; Caricaceae. The record is from RNAcentral.
GUUACGAGUAGAAAUUUGAGACAAGUAGGGUAAACCACAAAAAAUGAGGUUCAGUAACUUAGCCAAUACAGAUGAAAACAUUCUCCCCAUAAGAGUUGAAAACAAGAACAGGAAGGGAGACAAGAAAAAAGGCACCCUCAAGGGCGGAAAGAGAAAGAAACCUAGAUGAAAUUAAGCAACAAAUACAGCCACAAGCCAAAAACCAUAGUCUCUAAAGAGUAUAGUUAAAGAAAAACAAGAGAAAAUCAUACUAGGAAGAGCAAAAACAAAAAAAAAAGGAGGAAAUACCAAAAAGCAAGCAUCUGAAAGACAUACACAGAGAACCCAUAAAGAAAAAAGCACCAAGAAGACGACCCAAUCAACGGAGUUAGUAAACUUACUCUCCACGUUUUUUAGCAGAAACGAAGACCAAAAAUGGCGGAGAGAGAAAGAGAAGCGCGGGGAUUGGACACUGAAAGAAGAGUUUUAGCCACCUGUGCAGCUCAAUUGUGAAACAGACAAAGAAAAAGGUGGCCGAUGAUGAUGAUAAUGAGGCUCAAAUGAAAUACUAAAAUCUAAAUUCUUCCCAAUAUUCUCUCUCUAUCUCCAUCUUUUGACAAAAUAUUAAAUACCAUUUAAAGAGCAGAAUAAAGCAAAACACAAUUACAACAGUGUGAUCAAAGUCAAAAAUACUGAUCCAACAUUAAAUUAAGCAAGCAGUAAACUUGUAAGAAUUACUGUAAGAACAACUUGCAGAAUCUGCAAAUUUAAAUUAAAAGUGAUUUGUUUUAUAUCAUCAUCAGCUUCUCUGACUAAAAUGAAAAGCAUCCUUCUAAGCUAAGCUAAACUCAUCUUUUCUGUCUCAAGAUUGGACUGCUUUUCUAUCAGAUUAGCACACAGUUUUUUUAAUCUUGACACUGCAUUAAAGUCUGUCUCAGACGGAGAUUAGUCACGAACAGAUGAUUAAUUUAAGGGCAUAUUUUUCUACAUCAAUCUAUUUUGUAUUUCCAAAGACAACUAAUCAUAGCUUAAUGAAGAAAAGUAAGACAUACAUAUAUAUAUACAUAACACUAAAAAAAUAAACGUUGAGGGAUGAGUUAUGGAUUAGAUGUUGAGAUUUGUUCCUCAGAAUCAAGGAGACGUGCUUGACCGCACAAGUGUGCGAGAAGAAGUGGCUGGGUAGUUGGCGGGUCUUGUAAGCUGUAACUCUCAAUUCUCAUAUGCUGACAAAAAAUAGUUUUAAUUAUUUCAUAA